CAUUAAGAAGCUUUUACAGCGUCAGCCUUUUAAGUUGAAGAAGAAACCGUGUUUUCCUUAAUGA
RNAcentral lists this transfer RNA (64 nucleotides) under Hydrophis ornatus (reef sea snake). RNAcentral's name for it is "tRNA-Lys". The record is from RNAcentral. Lineage: Eukaryota; Metazoa; Chordata; Lepidosauria; Squamata; Elapidae.